UAUUAGAUAUGAGGGGAUGUGGGCAGG
RNAcentral lists this non-coding RNA (27 nucleotides) under Cricetulus griseus (Chinese hamster). The record is from RNAcentral. Lineage: Eukaryota; Metazoa; Chordata; Mammalia; Rodentia; Cricetidae.